GGUAACCUACCCUGUACACACGGAUAACAUACCGAAAGGUAUGCUAAUACGGGAUAAUAUAUUUGAGAGGCAUCUCUUAAAUAUCAAAGGUGAGCCAGUACAGGAUGGACCCGCGUCUGAUUAGCUAGUUGGUAAGGUAACGGCUUACCAAGGCAACGAUCAGUAGCCGACCUGAGAGGGUGAUCGGCCACAUUGGAACUGAGACACGGUCCAAACUCCUACGGGAGGCAGCAGUGGGGAAUAUUGCACAAUGGGCGAAAGCCUGAUGCAGCAACGCCGCGUGAGUGAUGAAGGCCUUCGGGUCGUAAAACUCUGUCCUCAAGGAAGAUAAUGACGGUACUUGAGGAGGAAGCCCCGGCUAACUACGUGCCAGCAGCCGCGGUAAUACGUAGGGGGCUAGCGUUAUCCGGAUUUACUGGGCGUAAAGGGUGCGUAGGCGGUCUUUCAAGUCAGGAGUGAAAGGCUACGGCUCAACCGUAGUAAGCUCUUGAAACUGGGAGACUUGAGUGCAGGAGAGGAGAGUGGAAUUCCUAGUGUAGCGGUGAAAUGCGUAGAUAUUAGGAGGAACACCAGUUGCGAAGGCGGCUCUCUGGACUGUAACUGACGCUGAGGCACGAAAGCGUGGGGAGCAAACAGGAUUAGAUACCCUGGUAGUCCACGCUGUAAAC
Molecule: ribosomal RNA, 668 nt
Filed under: uncultured bacterium
Lineage: Bacteria
Description: bacterial SSU rRNA
Rfam family: Bacterial small subunit ribosomal RNA
Source: RNAcentral